Teleopsis dalmanni is the source of this 1176-nucleotide long non-coding RNA. RefSeq lists it as uncharacterized. The transcript has 3 exons. NCBI's taxonomy places the organism in Eukaryota, Metazoa, Arthropoda, Insecta, Diptera, Diopsidae. The record is from RefSeq and is a predicted model, not a curated record.
AUUAAUUUCAGUUUCGGACCAGGGUUAAAAUUCAAAAAUCUCCUUUUAGUAUUUUAGAUAUGUUUUGAAAAUAACACUUCACAAUGGAAGACCAGACAAACUUAAGACAAGGUCCAAGUAAAUUGGAAGAAUUAGGUAAAAAUACAGUUGAAUCAUUGACUACAACACUAAAUGAUUUAAAAAAAUCAGCGGCAGUGCUAACUGCAGAGAAGAACGAUUUUUAUGACAAACUGGUCAAAAUUGACGAACUUUGUAAGAGUAACCGAUAUUCACAUCCAUUGAUUCCUAAAAUAGUGAGUAUAACAUCUGACAGCGUAGAACAGAAGACUAAAGAAAAGCCAGUCUCGAAAGUUAGGAAAUACAUGGCCAAACAUUUUGGAAAAAAGAAAUAACGUAGGACAUUACUUGGGAGGUUUUAUAAUUUUUUAUAACUACCAUAAAUAUUGUAUAGUAGAUGGAAUCUAGCUAUAAUGAUAGUAGUUAAAAUGGCAGAUGUUUACUUUUAUAACUGCGACAAACUGAUUGAAUAAAUGCAGUCUAAUGUAAACUAACUGAAGCUAGCCUACGAUUAUGAGAUGUAUCUUAUUAAUAUGAGCAAUGGGAAGGUUAACUGAGCUAUGAUUACUAACUGAGCUGCACAACUGCGAGAAAGUGUGGACUGUAGUGAGCUGUUCUUGUUAUCUUCAAUUUGAACAUUUUUUUCAAAAUACUAAAUAUCAUGGAACAACGAAAUAUGAAAUUAAUACAUCAUUCUACGACAUAGAUAAUCAUCAUUUAAUACAUCAUUUGGUCUAAUGUCCACAGAUAAUAAUUUAUAAAGCUUUUGGAAUGAAAUGGAUAAAUGUUGUUGAUGUCGUGAUGUUAGUCAGCCAAUUUGGGUUACAAGAAUUUGAAACAGAUUAAUACAAUCUAAUACGGAUUGAUCGAACCUGAUGUUACCAGACGAAACCUGAUGUGCACUAAUAAGACUAGACGUAAAACACCGAGUUAAUGUGGGUUGGGCGAGCUAGCUUGCAUUAUGGCAAUUUAAUAUGGGUUAAUACGAACUUGCAAAAAAUUAUAUAUACUCACUAUUACUUUGUCGAAGUGCUAGUUUCAAUCAUGCUAUUUACAAAUUUUAGUAAUUUGACUUAAAUUUGGUUUUGGAGAAAUAAAAAUUAAAAAUUAACCCAUCAA